UGCCGCGUGAGUGAUGAAGGCCUUCGGGUUGUAAAGCUCUUUUGGCGGGGACGAUGAUGACGGUACCCGCAGAAUAAGCCCCGGCUAACUUCGUGCCAGCAGCCGCGGUAAGACGAAGGGGGCUAGCGUUGUUCGGAAUUACUGGGCGUAAAGCGAGUGUAGGUGGUUGUCCAAGUUGGAUGUGAAAGCCUUGAGCUCAACUCAAGAAAUGCAUUCAGGACUGGGCGACUAGAGGACCGGAGAGGAUAGUGGAAUUCCCAGUGUAGUGGUGAAAUACGUAGAUUUUGGGAAGAACACCAGUGGCGAAGGCGGCUAUCUGGACGGUUUCUGACACUAAGACUCGAAAGCGUGGGGAGCAAACAGGAUUAGAUACCCUGGUAGUCCACGCCGUACACGAUGGGUGCUAGACGUUGGCGAGCUUGCUCGUCAGUGUCGCACCUCACGCGUUAAGCACCCCGCCUGGGGAGUACGGCCGCAGGGUUGAAACUCAAAGGAAUUGACGGGGGCCCGCACAAGCGGUGGAGCAUGUGGUUCAAUUCGACGCAGCGCGCAUAACCUUACCAGCCCUUGACAUGUGACUCGCCGGUCCCAGAGACGGGACCUUCGGUUCGGCCGGAGUCAGC
Molecule: ribosomal RNA, 623 nt
Filed under: alpha proteobacterium So3Ps_861
Lineage: Bacteria; Pseudomonadati; Pseudomonadota; Alphaproteobacteria
Description: bacterial SSU rRNA
Rfam family: Bacterial small subunit ribosomal RNA
Source: RNAcentral